GAUGAACGCUAGCGGCAGGCUUAACACAUGCAAGUCGAGGGGCAGCAUAAAUAGUAGCAAUACUAUUGGUGGCGACCGGCGGACGGGUGCGUAGCGCGUAUACAACCUUCCCUAAACAGGGGGAUAAUCUGGAGAAAUUCGGUCUAAUACCCCAUAACAUCAGAGCAGGCAUCUGUUUUGGUUAAAAUUUCCGGAGGUUUAGGAUGGGUAUGCGUAGCAUUAGCUAGUUGGUGAGGUAACGGCUCACCAAGGCGACGAUGCUUAGGGGGACUGAGCGGUUAACCCCCCACACUGGUACUGAGACACGGACCAGACUCCUACGGGAGGCAGCAGUGAGGAAUAUUGGUCAAUGGGCGGAAGCCUUAACCAGCCAUGCCGCGUGCAGGAUGACGGCUCUAUGAGUUGUAAACUGCUUUUGUACGAGGGUAAAGUGGGCUACGUGUAGCCUUUUGAAAGUAUCGUACGAAUAAGGAUCGGCUAACUCCGUGCCAGCCGCCGCCGUAA
This 504-nucleotide ribosomal RNA is filed under the name uncultured bacterium. Its description in RNAcentral is "partial 16S ribosomal RNA". It matches the Rfam family "Bacterial small subunit ribosomal RNA", at positions 28 to 523 of the family's 1533-position model. The record is from RNAcentral.